GCCGGGUGCGGUGGUGCAUGCCUGUAAUCCCAGUGGCUCAGGAGGCUGAGACAGGAGGAUUGAGGGUUCAAAGUCAGCCUCAGCAAUGGCGGGGCUCAGUGAAACCCUGUCCCUA
This 115-nucleotide small RNA is filed under the name Marmota monax (woodchuck). Lineage: Eukaryota; Metazoa; Chordata; Mammalia; Rodentia; Sciuridae. The record is from RNAcentral.